CCCUUAGAUGUUCUGGGCUGCACGCGCGCUACACUGAUGCAUUCAACGAGCUUUCGAUCUUGCCCGAGAGGGUUGGAUAAUCUUUUUAAAGUGCAUCGUGAUGGGGAUAGAUUAUUGCAAUUAUUAAUCUUCAACGAGGAAUUCCUAGUAAGCGCGAGUCAUCAGCUCGUGCUGAUUACGUCCCUGCCCCUUGUACACACCGUCCGUCGCUGCCCGGAACUGAGCCGUUUCGAGAAAGCUGGGGACUGACGGCUUGUGGGUGCGCAAGCACUUCUUGCCGACGGAAACCAGUUUAAUCGGUAUGGCUUGAACCGGGCAAAAGUCGUAACA
Molecule: ribosomal RNA, 330 nt
Filed under: uncultured eukaryote
Lineage: Eukaryota
Description: partial 18S ribosomal RNA
Rfam family: Eukaryotic small subunit ribosomal RNA
Source: RNAcentral